AGUGAACGCUGGCGGUAGGCCUAACACAUGCAAGUCGAACGGCAGCACAGGAGAGCUUGCUCUCUGGGUGGCGAGUGGCGGACGGGUGAGGAAUACAUCGGAAUCUACUUUUUCGUGGGGGAUAACGUAGGGAAACUUACGCUAAUACCGCAUACGACCUACGGGUGAAAGCAGGGGAUCUUCGGACCUUGCGCGUUUGAAUGAGCCGAUGUCGGAUUAGCUAGUUGGCGGGGUAAAGGCCCACCAAGGCGACGAUCCGUAGCUGGUCUGAGAGGAUGAUCAGCCACACUGGAACUGAGACACGGUCCAGACUCCUACGGGAGGCAGCAGUGGGGAAUAUUGGACAAUGGGCGCAAGCCUGAUCCAGCCAUACCGCGUGGGUGAAGGGGGCCUUCGGGUUGUAAAGCCCUUUUGUUGGGAAAGAAAUCCAGCUGGUUAAUACCCGGUUGGGAUGACGGUACCCAAAGAAUAAGCACCGGCUAACUUCGUGCCAGCAGCCGCCGUAA
Molecule: ribosomal RNA, 506 nt
Filed under: uncultured bacterium
Lineage: Bacteria
Description: partial 16S ribosomal RNA
Rfam family: Bacterial small subunit ribosomal RNA
Source: RNAcentral